UUGAAUACUCACUAAUAUAUCCUCCUUUUGACAAUUGGACAAACCAGAUAUAGAAGUUGGUAUGAUGGGUCAAACAGAUCAACAAAUCAGUUCUCUGUUCUCACAGUUUAACUUUAUUUCAGUUUUCUAAAUAUAUGUCUGGUGAACUGUAAAUCAGGAAAAAUAUAGUAAAAGUAGGACACACUACAGAAAAAAUAUUAACAUUGUAUAUUAACUAAUAUCUGACCAAAUAUUAUACAGCUGAGCCAUUAAUUAGUCAUACACUGGUCAUGAAUCCAAAGAAGAUGUUUACAAUGAUUCACACCCUUAACAUGAUAAAUUUUACUAUUAUCUAAUAAAUGAGACUUCUUUUAGAUGAAACAAUUAGAAAAUAAUGCCAACAUUAUUCUUUAAUAAUAUGGAAACUACCCUAAGUGAAACAAAGUUUUCUUUAGAAAUAAGAAUAUAGUUAAAUAAAGACAGAAACAAUUUGUUGGGAGCCGUGGCACUGUCAAGUCAUCAGACGCGGUGAUUGCGAGGCCUGUGGGAAAGUACAAAAGCCUGGGCUAGAUUACCCCUCUCAUCGAGCCCGCCUGUGUGGCACCUGUUUCUUAUCACCCCACUAAGUUCCCGCCUCACAGGGUAGUCUGCCUAGCUAUUAAUCCUAUAUAUAGCCAGUGCCUCCACCCCCGAGAGAGAGAGAGAGAGACUGAAGCACAAAAGGAGCCGCGGGGAGCGGACCGGUAGAGGCUUCGGGGCAGACUGAAGCACGGAAGGAGCCGCGGAGAGCGGACCGGUAGAGGCUUCGGGGCAGACUGUAUAAGGAGAGAAUAAAGAAAAGCCUGACCACCGCCAGACCUUGUCGUGUGUCUUUCCUGCCGGCCGGGAGCGGACAUCGACAUUUGGAGGCCCGCACGGGGAUUGAUCAACCCCGAGACGCGGUGGUGGACUGCAUUCUCCUACACAGUGCUGCAGCUGCAGGACAGGAAUCGGGACGAGAGCCAAUGUGGGUCCCAGAGAGGUUGACGCGACAAGUCCCUCGACUGAAGAUCAGGCCUGUUCCACCAGAGGCCAACCGCAGACCCAACAACAAGAUGAGCCCUAAAAGAACUGCAGGACAAUCCCUUUUUGGGGGCCUGGAAUGGCUUGCUCCCCUAUGUGCUACCCUUGUAUACGCAUGGCUCGCUCGCAUGGCCUACGACCGCGUUUAAAAGUGACAGGCUUCCCACAUUCUCCUCCCUAGACAACAACAUGUAGCAGGGUGGGUGAGUCAAUGACGGGUAAGAGCGUGCCUCCCCAGCACGACUCAACCUAAGCCAGGCCCUACCCCGUUCCGCUCGAAAGCCGCUGGAUUGUUAGAUAAAUUUCUCUCCGAGGGGAUUCGUGGAGAGAAAUGAGUGCAUGCCUAUGUGCAACCAGGUUCCGUCCGGUUCAUUCCUGGCCCUAGAAAAAAGGACGAGGGCCUUAGGGCCUUGGUGGACCCUGGGACGGCCGACCAGGGUCUACGCUAAGGGCCUACGGUGGGCCUCAGUUCGGGGCAUAGGCCUCUGCACUCUAUCCAGGACGGGCUGCGAUGCACGUAGCCAUCAUUUAAAAUAAAAUAGGGGGAGAUGUUGGGAGCCGUGGCACUGUCAAGUCAUCAGACGCGGUGAUUGCGAGGCCUGUGGGAAAGUACAAAAGCCUGGGCUAGAUUACCCCUCUCAUCGAGCCCGCCUGUGUGGCACCUGUUUCUUAUCACCCCACUAAGUUCCCGCCUCACAGGGUAGUCUGCCUAGCUAUUAAUCCUAUAUAUAGCCAGUGCCUCCACCCCCGAGAGAGAGAGAGAG
Molecule: long non-coding RNA, 1805 nt
Organism: Cavia porcellus (domestic guinea pig)
Lineage: Eukaryota; Metazoa; Chordata; Mammalia; Rodentia; Caviidae
Exons: 2
Source: RefSeq, a predicted model, not a curated record